RNAcentral lists this long non-coding RNA (261 nucleotides) under Lathyrus oleraceus (garden pea). Its description in RNAcentral is "Pisum sativum (pea) long non-coding RNA (PSAT_LNC006484)". The record is from RNAcentral. Lineage: Eukaryota; Viridiplantae; Streptophyta; Magnoliopsida; Fabales; Fabaceae.
UGAUGCCUUGCUAUUCAAGAUAAUAUAAUUGUGCAUUUGUGUGUUGCUUGAUUCUAAAAAUCCAAGGGAAUUCUGGGUUUCUAUUGACAUUCUUGUCUAUUUAAGAUAAUAUAAUUGUGCAUUUGUGUGUUGCUUGAUUCUAAAAAUCCAAGGGAAUUCUGGGUUUCUAUUGACAUUCUUGUCUAUUGGAUUGCUACCCAUUUGGUCAGAUCUUUUCAACUCUAAACUUCUAAUUUUGUACAUAGGAUAGUCUCUUCAUCU